Molecule: long non-coding RNA, 2129 nt
Organism: Rhincodon typus (whale shark)
Lineage: Eukaryota; Metazoa; Chordata; Chondrichthyes; Orectolobiformes; Rhincodontidae
Exons: 3
Source: RefSeq, a predicted model, not a curated record
UCUGCCUGCUGCUGCAGCCUUCAUCUGUCAUAGUAGCCAUUAAUAUCACAUGAAUAUCUUCCACCUGGAUCACCGUUGAGGAUUUGUUUAGGACUGUGCUUUCUCUAGGUCCUCCCCUCUCCGCCACAGCAAGGUGCAAUCCAUGGAAAAGCCUCAUCUCAGUAAUCAAUUGGAGAUUCCUUAUUUUGAAUUUGUGAUCCUUAAUUCUAGAUCCCUCCGUGAGAGAAAACGCCAUUUCAGCAUCAAGAUUUUCAUAGCGCGCAGAAAAUUAUAUCUUUCACAAUAAGAUCACCUGUCAUUUUUCUAAAUGCUAAUGAAUAUACACAAAGAGAGCAGAGCCUCCUCUGGGACUGGAUAAAGGAUUACUCUUCUUUGUUCUUAACCAAAUGGUUGAUUCUCUCUCUGGUCGGAGGGUGAGCUGCUCUGGUCACUGCUGUAUCCCAACACGCCUCUAGGUAGGCUGGAGAGUGGGGCUACCCAAGUCCUGCCGAGCUGGGUUCGUAUACCCUCCUGGUUGCCUUCUGGAGCUUUCCAAAGACUUGACCAAUCGGAGAUACAGAAAAGAAGAGCCCAACAUCUCCCGGAUUCACAGAUAAUUACAGCAGAGAAGGAAACCAUUCAGCCAAUCAUAUCUGUGCCAGUUAACAAAGAACUGAUUAUUCCAAUCCCACAUCCCAGCUUUUAGCCCAUAGUCCUGGAGGCUAUGGCAUUGCAAGUGAAAAUCUACAUACUGCUUCAAUGUUACGAGUUUUUCUGACUCAACAAUCCUUUUAGGCAGUGGCUUCCAGAAUCUCACCAACUUUCCGAAUAAAAAAAACCAUUUUCCUCAACUCCGUGGUUACCACUGUUGCCUCACAGCGCCGGGGACCCCGGAUUCGAUUCCAGCCUUGGGCGACUGUGUUUGUGGAGUUUGCACGUUCUCUCUGUGUCUGUGUGGGUUUCCUCCAGGUGCUCUGGUUUCCUCCCACAGUCCAAAGAUGUGCAGGUUAGGUGAAUUGGCCAUGCUAAAUUUCCUGCAGUGUCCAGGGGGGAUGUGUAUUCUAGGUAGGUUUGCCAUGGGAAAUGCAGGGUUACAGGGAUAGGGUAGGAUCGGAUUUGGGUGGGAUACUCUUUGGAGGGUUGAUGCGGACUCAAUGGACCGAAUGGCCUGUUUCCACACUAUAGGAUUCUAAGAUUCUCUUAACCUUAUACCUUACUUUAAAUCUAUGCCCCCUGGUUAUUGCCACCUCUACCAAUGGAAAAAAAAGUGUCUUCCUAUACCUGUAAUAAUCUUAUACACCUCCAUUAGGUUCCCUCUUAAACUUUGCUGCUUCAAGGAAAACCAUCCCAGCCUAGCCAAUCUUUCCUUGUAUGUCUGACCCUCCACCCCAGGCAACUUCAAGCCUAAUGCAGUAGUUAAUAAGUUAAUUCUUGUGCUAAAAAGUAAGGCAGAAUCUUUAGCAGACUGUGCCUGUCCAUCUCAGUGAGAAAAUCCAUUACCUAGGAUGAAAAAGAUGAAAUUGAAGGCAUAAAGAAGAUGUGUUUAAAAGAUGCCAAGCUAAGGAUUUACAAGAUUGAUGCAGGAGGUAGAGAUUUCUAUCACUAAGUCACCCACAGGUAUAUCUCACUCAUUCACACCCAAGAGGAGUUAAGCAGUUGACAUUGGAUUUGGGGUGUCAUGAUUUCACUUUAAAUCAAAAUGUUCAAAACACAAACUACACAAUUGUCACCAGCUUGUCCGUCACAUUUAUAGAUUUAAUUUCAAGAUUUGUGUACGUCAGAAUAGCCAACAAACUCUCGAAGGUAACUCAGCGUUUAAAUCCCUUUCAGAGGCUUUCUCAAAAUGUAAAGAUACAUGUACUUGUCUCAUUCAGCACUAGAGGGCAGCAUCCGCUCAAAAUCCUGCCACUUAAUAGGUUUUACAUUGUAAUCAUUUUAAUAAACGUAAAAAUAUCUAAUAUUCUUUCAUUUAUAUUCAGUGAUUAUAUUUGGCACAAACACAAUGGUUUUUUUUCCCCCCUGCUUUUAAUGCAGGACUUGAAGUCAAUUAUUAAUUUCUGGAAAAUCUCUUGCUCCAAUGCUACAACAAUGACUUGUAUUUAGACAAGCAUCUCUUUAAGGUAAUAAACUGUUACAGUUAUCAAACAAAA